GCAAGGGAACGGCCCCAGAAAGAAAGGUACCAGAGACCAGAUAGAGUUCUCCAAGUUGUACUUCCAUGACCCACUCAGACACACCCAGAAAGCAGUGAUGAGACCCUGGGAGUGAAAGUCUGAGAAGAAACAAAUCCAGAGAUGAUGUUGUUACUGGAGAGUGGAGAACACAGCUCUACUGCCAGAGAACCACAGGUAAAGAUGCACCAAGAAGGCCCUUGAUGGAUGCCAACACCAUGAUAUUGGACUUCCUAGCCUAUAGAACUAUGAGCCAAUAAACAUCUACUAAAUAAAUUACUCAGGGUCUGACUGAAAC
Heterocephalus glaber (naked mole-rat) is the source of this 316-nucleotide long non-coding RNA. RefSeq lists it as uncharacterized. Lineage: Eukaryota; Metazoa; Chordata; Mammalia; Rodentia; Bathyergidae. The record is from RefSeq and is a predicted model, not a curated record.